GUGCUCAUUUCAGCAGCACAGGCACUAAAAUUGGAACAACACCGAGAAGACUCGUAUGGCCCUUGCACACGGGUGACACACAAAAUUAAAAUCGUUGAAAAGAAAGA
Molecule: small nuclear RNA, 107 nt
Organism: Echinops telfairi (small Madagascar hedgehog)
Lineage: Eukaryota; Metazoa; Chordata; Mammalia; Afrosoricida; Tenrecidae
Source: Ensembl